This 419-nucleotide ribosomal RNA is filed under the name uncultured archaeon. RNAcentral's name for it is "bacterial SSU rRNA". It matches the Rfam family "Archaeal small subunit ribosomal RNA", at positions 582 to 997 of the family's 1478-position model. The record is from RNAcentral.
UACUGCCAGACGUUGGAACCGGGAGAGGUAAGAGGUACGUACAGGGGUAGGAGUGAAAUCUUGUAAUCCCUGUGGGACCACCUGUGGCGAAGGCGUCUUACCAGAACGGGUUCGACGGUGAGGGACGAAAGCUGGGGGCACGAACCGGAUUAGAUACCCGGGUAGUCCCAGCCGUAAACGAUGCUCGCUAGGUGUCAGGCAUGGCGCGACCGUGUCUGGUGCCGCAGGGAAGCCGUGAAGCGAGCCACCUGGGAAGUACGGCCGCAAGGCUGAAACUUAAAGGAAUUGGCGGGGGAGCACAACAACGGGUGGAGCCCUGCGGUUUAAUUGGACUCAACGCCGGACAACUCACCGGGGGCGACAGCAAUAUGUAGGCCAAGCUGAAGACUUUGCCUGAAUCGCUGAGUGGAGGUGCAUGG